RNAcentral lists this non-coding RNA (2357 nucleotides) under Cryptosporidium parvum. Lineage: Eukaryota; Apicomplexa; Conoidasida; Eucoccidiorida; Cryptosporidiidae. The record is from RNAcentral.
CGGCGAAAUAUUUUGCUUUUCCACAUCAUUGUUGCAUACAAAGUUGUUAACUUCUAAUGAAUUGUUGAUGUUUGGUCUAGAAUUAUUAUUAAUAAGUGUUUGGUAUUCUAUUAGAGAGCCUGAAAAGAAUAUAUCAUGAUUGUUAAGGUGCACAAUUUGGAUGUUAGUUAAGCUAUUCUCUGGUUGAUUGUUGAUGAAAUAUAAGAGAGUAGUAAGGUCAAUUGAGAGAAUGGUUCUAGAGUAUGGGCUAUUAAGGAAACCCUUAUGUCCAAAGAGCCUGGAAAAUAUUUUGGAGCCUACAUUUGGGUCAAGGUUGAGAAAAAUGUCAUCAAAUAGGAAAAUGGCAGCUUCACUCUGAUGGUAGAGGCAUCUCGCUAGGGCUACUCUUGUUUUUUGUCCUCCACUAAGGGAUGUGCCUCCUUCAUCAAUGACCCUGAGAUCACCAUCCUUCCAAGAUUGAAAAUCAUGUUGCAAUUGACAAAUGCCUGUAACCAGCAUGUAGAGUUCUUCAUUCCAAGGUUUUCCAAAUAAUAUUGCAGAUCUGACAGUGCCUUGAGGAAUCCAAGAUGUUUGGCUUGAGUAAGCGUAACAAAGGUCAUUAUCUUUGCAUUCAAGAAUUGAGUUAAUGACGGAAGUUUUGCCACAUCCUGAUGAUCCAGUGAAAAUAACACAUUUUCCUAGAGUAUUGAGAGAAUUCUCUGGAUUGCAUAGGUGUGACUUAAUAAUUCGGUGGCAUUCAUAAAUGAAGGAAUUAUUUGAAUUAUUUAAGUACUGGUCAUCUAUAGAAAUACCAUCAGAAGACUUGCAAAACUGCUUAAAACACAUAACUUUAUUGGAAUAUUUGCUUACUUCCUCUUGAGCUGGAUUCUUUAAAUUUGAAAAGUCAAUUGCUCCAGUAAAUUCACAAUCAGUACUAGUAUCAUCAUCUUCUGAAAAAUAUUCAAAAUAAUUAUCAGGAUGAGAAGAAAUAAAAGUACGAAUUCUCAAAAGUGAAAUGAGGCCUUCAAUAAAAGUUACAGGAAUUCCCCUAAGUGGUGAUGCAAGGGAAUGGAGUAUAUGUAUUGAAGCAAGAGCUGCUGGUAGGUUCAAAGAUGUUCCAAUAAAAAGGUAGAAAAUAAUGAAUACAAUCAAUUGAGUAGCUCUUUGAGUAUGGUAUUCAAGAAAGCUUCCAAACUGAGUCCUAACAAGGCGCUUACGGUUUAAUGCUGUUUCAAUAUUUCUACUCUUCAUAAUUUUAUCAAAAGCCAGAUCUUCAGCUCCCAUUAUUCUAAUAACUCGAAGAAUCCCAAGAAUAUCAUGGCAAACCGAUAGUCUUUGAUCUCUAUACUCCAUAAAUGGUGCCUUAUAUACAGUUCCAAGUACUUGAAAUCCAAAGCUUGAAAUAAAGAAGAACAAAAAUGUUAUAAUACCAGGUAAAGCUGCUAUGAGUCCAACCUGCUUUGAAAGUAACUUCCAGGUUAUCCAAAUAUUCACUGGAAGAAGAAUACAGUCUAUCAAGGAAUUCAAAAAUAGCUGUACUGCUGAUAUAUCGCCAACUAACAUACUGAAUACAUCUGGAUCUGCAAGAAGGUAUCUAAUUGAUUUACUAUAGGUUAUUUUCUCAAGCUCAUUUCUUCCUCUUGAAGAGUCUAAGAAUUUUUUAAAAGCUAUGAAUCCAUUACUAUUCGAUGAUGAAUCUUCAUCUCCCUCAAUUUCAAGCCGGAUCUUACUAGGAAUCUCAUGUAAAUCAACACUUACAGCGUUUUCAUUGUGCUUUUGCUCUCUUGACUUUUCGGAUCCACGUCCAGAUAAAAGUCUAUAAAAGAUGAUCCCCGUCAGGCCUGACUCAAGCCUCAUUGUCACUCUCGCAAGGUAAAGCCUUGCAUGUGCAUCAAUUACUGACCUUAUUAAAUAAGCUGAGACAAGAAAUAUACAGGAAUUCAAGGCUCUAAUACUUUUGUUAUUUGAGACUGUUUGAGUGAAAACUAUCGAGCAUAGACUACAAGAAAAUAAGAAAAUAAGCUUCAAAAAUAGAACAUUUACAAUUGAUCUUCCAUAUACUUGCAAUAAUGGAAGCCAGAAAUGGUUUCUAUUUUUUGAAAAUGAUUCUCUUAAUCUAUAUAUCCAAAUUAAAGGUGAGUCUCCAUGAAAAAGUAAAGGAUAUCCAGGAUUUGAAUUUCCAUUAGUGAUAUAUCUACUCCAUUGUGAAAGCCAUAACAACUGGAAAAAGCUUGACAUUAAUUCCAAAUAUUCAAAUUUUAUAAUAUAUUCUCAAAUUAAUAUUUAAUCAGUUAAGUCUUAAAACUUAACUUCACUCAAGAAUUAAUUAUAUUCAAUUGGUCAAAUUAUUCCAAAACUGGAUAAAAGUUUAAACAGGU